Molecule: ribosomal RNA, 497 nt
Filed under: uncultured bacterium
Lineage: Bacteria
Description: partial 16S ribosomal RNA
Rfam family: Bacterial small subunit ribosomal RNA
Source: RNAcentral
GAUGAACGCUGGCGGCGUGCCUAAUACAUGCCAGUCGAGCGAACAGACGAGGAGCUUGCUCCCCUGACGUUAGCGGCGGACGGGUGAGUAACACGUGGAUAACCUACCUAUAAGACUGGGAUAACUUCGGGAAACCGGAGCUAAUACCGGAUAAUAUAUUGAACCGCAUGGUUCAAUAGUGAAAGACGGUUUUGCUGUCACUUAUAGAUGGAUCCGCGCCGCAUUAGCUAGUUGGUAAGGUAACGGCUUACCAAGGCGACGAUGCGUAGCCGACCUGAGAGGGUGAUCGGCCACACUGGAACUGAGACACGGUCCAGACUCCUACGGGAGGCAGCAGUAGGGAAUCUUCCGCAAUGGGCGAAAGCCUGACGGAGCAACGCCGCGUGAGUGAUGAAGGUCUUCGGAUCGUAAAACUCUGUUAUUAGGGAAGAACAAAUGUGUAAGUAACUAUGCACGUCUUGACGGUACCUAAUCAGAAAGCCACGGCUAACUACGUG